CCCUUAGAUGUUCUGGGCCGCACGCGCGCUACACUGAUGCCUUCAACGAGUCUAAAACCUGCUCUGAUAGGGGUGGGUAAUCUUUUGAAUGUGCAUCGUGAUUGGGAUAGAUGAUUGCAAUUUUUCAUCUUCAACGAGGAAUGCCUAGUAAACGCAAGUCAUCAGCUUGCAUUGAUUACGUCCCUGCCCUUUGUACACACCGCCCGUCGCUCCUACCGAUUGAAUGAUCCGAUGAAUAUCAUGGAUUGAGGAUGCAAGUAGGUUAGCCUAUCUUCAUCUUCGAGAAGUGAAGUAAAUCUUAUCAUUUAGAGGAAGGAGAAGUCGUAACA
This 329-nucleotide ribosomal RNA is filed under the name uncultured eukaryote. RNAcentral's name for it is "partial 18S ribosomal RNA". It matches the Rfam family "Eukaryotic small subunit ribosomal RNA", at positions 1470 to 1796 of the family's 1831-position model. The record is from RNAcentral.